UCAAUUUGGAAUGCGAUUUUGUUAAUAAAAAAAAUACUUAUAACUUAUGCAAAACCCAAGAGAGGCAUUUAUAUUUAUUUCUUUUGCGUUCAUUUUCAAAUUCGCCGUGCAUAUAUUUUUGUGCAUGGCGCUUGAGAGGGCAUCACGUGACUAAAAACGACCAACCAACGACCUCGCUUCGGCCAUCUUGGCAUCUUCAUCUUGGCGACCUUGCCUUGCCGUGGAUUGUUUUUAGUUGUUUGUAUUAUUUGUGCUUUUUAAGAAUAUUUUUUUAAUUCGGAUACUUUUAUAAUAGCUUUAAUAGUAUUAUUAACAUAGUGCAUAAAAUGGUGUCCUGUUUUUAACGCAGUUGGAGUAGCAGAAACAAAUGUAGAUAAAAAAAUCUGCAGGAAUAACGUUUCAAUUAUGACAGAAGCUCAAAACAAAUGACUGAAUGAAAAGCCCUAUUAAAAGCUUUCCAGAAGAUCCUGCGAAGAAGACAUGAAGUAUAGAUCAGAUUUGUUAAUAGAGGAGUAUGUUCAAAACACUUUUUAGAAAAAGAUAUUGACAGAACUUCACUUUCAUCUGUUCGUUUGAGAGACUGUGCUGUUCCAAUAGCUUAUGUCACACAGAAUCAGCUGAGAGAAGUGGUCUACAAAAAACCAGAAAGGAAACGGAAUAUGUGGCUACGAAAAGCAAAAGAAAGGUUUACAAAGCAAAUGUGACACAUUUUUUUAUAAUAUUUAGGAAUGUCAGCAAAUUACAUUAAAAAAUGUAUAUAAAGAUUUUUUGCAAUAAAAAUGUUUAUAUUUA
This is a long non-coding RNA of Diabrotica virgifera virgifera (western corn rootworm), 792 nucleotides long. RefSeq lists it as uncharacterized. The transcript is spliced from 3 exons. NCBI's taxonomy places the organism in Eukaryota, Metazoa, Arthropoda, Insecta, Coleoptera, Chrysomelidae. The record is from RefSeq and is a predicted model, not a curated record.